UUCUUCUCCCUCAACUAUCUCACACUCACAACAGACAUUGAGAAAGUCACCCAUUAACGAAUUUGUGAGCAAAUGAUAGGAUAACAUCAACUUUUUCUUCCCCCUCACCUUCUCCAUCAACAUAUUUCGUAUUCGGCAUCAAUUCCAUCUCUCUAUCUCACACCAAAAAGUUUAACUUCUUCUUCUCCCUCACAUCUUCCAUGAAAAAACCCUAGAACUGAAAUUAGAGAUUGGUUCAAAAAAUUAAUCGGAUGCUUUCAAUCGAUCUAUUUUUAAUUGAAGAAUGGUGGUUCACAGAAAUAGGGUUUGAUUGAAUUUUCAUCUUCUUCAUUAGGUUUAAUUGCUGCUGCAGAUGGAAACUGCACGCCCUUGCUUUGUAGUUUGGAGACAAAACAUGUCCAAAGAACAGCUGGCUGCUGAACGAGAAAGGAACUGGGUUUGACAAAAAACCCAUCGGCUAAAUACGAUGGAGGAGCAGCUGCCACCAAAAAUAAGUUGAACUUCCCUUGGCUGAAUGUCGACGAACAUUACCGCUGGGUUUAUUGAAUUGGGACCAGAACAUAGAGCUCCCUUACGUACAUGGUAAGAAGAUACAAUUGUGUUUGAUGAGCAAAUCAACUGAUCCAGAAUCCAGAAGACGGUCCCAAUGAGAGUAACCAGGACUAUAUGCAGGAAGGUACGUAUAUUUUUAGCAAGUUAUUGUACAAUACUGUGAGGAAAGUUCAUCUUGGGAUCAUUUCAGGCAUUCUUCGAUUGACAAAAAUUUACUGUACUUUAGACUAUAUAUAUGUUGAAAGUGCGAAGUUUUAUGUGCUAAACUUCAAAAAAAAUGUGAUAUUCGCUCAUUUUGUUUACAUCUGUGAUACAGUCUAACUCACACUAGCUAUGAAUUAAUGGAGAAAAUACUUAAAGUUUACUAGAUUAGAACCGAUGGCUAGAGCCUGCAUCAGUAAUAUAUGUUGUAUGAUAUCAUGCCAGAGUCUGACUAGGAACUGGAAGCUGAAGAGACACUACAGCUGCUGGUCGCUGAACAUCGUAUCCUAAUGUGAAAAUGCAUUGAUACUCGGGCUUUAUCAUGGCUUGAAGAAAGAGAAGUCCAGAACUUAUGAUAGGUGCAAAGAGAAGUCCAGAACUUAUGAUAGAUGGAAGCCGCAAAGAUAAAUUUGAAUUUAUGCAGGAUUUCUAGAUUCGUGAGUUCGCAAGGCGUUACAGUUGAGCAAGUGAAUCAAGAGUAGGUUCUGCAGGAUGCAGCUUUUACUUGGCAGCUAUUUGUAUAUGGUGAACAGAUCUAGGAAGAUUCGUGAGUUCCCAAUGCAGGUAUUAGGUUAUUAGGCUUAGAUGCUAAACAUAUAAUGAAUAGAUUCAUAAGAAAUUAAGUGUUCACAUGGUGUGGGGUGCUGAAGAUGAUGGAUAUAGAAUAUACACAACUCAUUCAACCAGGAGCUAUGUACAUUACUUUACUGUGCUAUUUGACUGUACGAUUAUAACACAUUCUGUUAAGAGUGUUAUGAUUUUCGAACAUGGAAAAUGCAUAUAUUUAACUAUUGUCCA
Papaver somniferum (opium poppy) is the source of this 1551-nucleotide long non-coding RNA. RefSeq lists it as uncharacterized. The transcript has 3 exons. The record is from RefSeq and is a predicted model, not a curated record. Lineage: Eukaryota; Viridiplantae; Streptophyta; Magnoliopsida; Ranunculales; Papaveraceae.